This 550-nucleotide ribosomal RNA is filed under the name uncultured bacterium. RNAcentral's name for it is "bacterial SSU rRNA". It matches the Rfam family "Bacterial small subunit ribosomal RNA", at positions 355 to 896 of the family's 1533-position model. The record is from RNAcentral.
UAGGGAAUAUUGCGCAAUGGGCGAAAGCCUGACGCAGCCAUGCCGCGUGAGUGAUGAAGGCCUUCGGGUCGUAAAGCUCUUUUCUGAGGGAAGAAACGUUCGGGGAGGUAAUGCCCUGAACCUGACGGUACCUUAGGAAUAAGGGACGGCUAACUCCGUGCCAGCAGCCGCGGUAAUACGGAGGUCCCAAGCGUUGUUCGGAUUUACUGGGCGUAAAGGGAGCGCAGGCGGAUUAGUAAGUGGAAAGUGGAAUUCCGGGGCUUAACCUCGGAAGUGCUUUCCAAACUGCUAGUCUUGAGUACGGGAGAGGGAGGCGGAAUUCCCAGUGUAGAGGUGAAAUUCGUAGAUAUUGGGAGGAACACCGGUGGCGAAAGCGGCCUCCUGGACCGAUACUGACGCUGAGACGCGAAAGCGUGGGGAGCAAACAGGAUUAGAUACCCUGGUAGUCCACGCGGUAAACGAUGGGCACUAGGUGUGGGGGGUAUCCACUCCUCCCGUGCCGAAGCUAACGCAUUAAGUGCCCCGCCUGGGGAGUACGGCCGCAAGGUUA